Arachis ipaensis is the source of this 186-nucleotide non-coding RNA. The record is from RefSeq and is a predicted model, not a curated record. Lineage: Eukaryota; Viridiplantae; Streptophyta; Magnoliopsida; Fabales; Fabaceae.
UCAUAAAUAAAUUCAAAGAGGCUCACUCUAUUCAAAUUGAUGUUGACUACACCGGUGGUUUGCUUCCAAUUUCAAAGACAUCCUCAAUCAUUGAAGGGGAGAAAGUAGAAGGUGCUAAGAAUUUAUUGUUUGAAUUCUCCAAUGAAGUUGCGGCCAAUGAUGAAUCCGAAUUAUUGAAAAAUGUUA